RNAcentral lists this ribosomal RNA (542 nucleotides) under Demodex canis (dog follicle mite). RNAcentral describes it as "eukaryotic LSU rRNA". It matches the Rfam family "Eukaryotic large subunit ribosomal RNA", at positions 296 to 836 of the family's 3401-position model. The record is from RNAcentral. Lineage: Eukaryota; Metazoa; Arthropoda; Arachnida; Trombidiformes; Demodicidae.
GUGGUAAACUCCAUCUAAAGCUAAAUAUCGGGGAGAGACCGAUAGCGAACAAGUACCGUGAGGGAAAGAUGAAAAGCACUUUGGAAAGAGAGUUAAAAGUACGUGAAAUUGUCGAAAGGGAAGCACUUGAAGUCAGCCAUGCUGCUUGAGACUCAGCCUGGCUUUUGCUUGGUGUAUUUCUCGGUAGCAAGCCAGCAUUGGUUUGUGUCGUCGGAGAAGCGGUUAGGAAUGUGGCAUCUUCGGAUGUGUUAUAGCCUAGCACUGGAUACGACGACCCAGACCAAGGAACGCAGUGCGCCUUGUGGCGGGUCUACGGACACCUUCGCACUUAGGAUGCUGGCGUAAUGGCUUCAAGUGGCCCGUCUUGAAACACGGACCAAGGAGUCUAACAUAUGUGCGAGUUUUUGGGUGGCAAACCCAUGAGCGGAAUGAAAGUGAAUACAGGUGGGAUCCGCAAGGAGCACCAUCGACCGGCCCUGAUGUUCUCGGAUGGGUCUGCGUAGGAGCAUAUAUGUUGGGACCCGAAAGAUGGUGAACUAUGC